Long non-coding RNA from Meriones unguiculatus (Mongolian gerbil), 2005 nucleotides. RefSeq lists it as uncharacterized. The record is from RefSeq and is a predicted model, not a curated record. The transcript has 2 exons. Lineage: Eukaryota; Metazoa; Chordata; Mammalia; Rodentia; Muridae.
CAGGUGAACGCUCCUUCCUUGAGAUGUCCCAUCUCCCGGCAUAACCUGUGUUCGGUGGCCACAGCAGCAGUCCUGGCUUUUGUCAUCCGCCUCAGGCGAAGGUGGAUCCUAUGUAUAGAAAAACAGUGCCUCCAGAUUCUUGUUGCUCAUCUUAUGGUCCUGAUCUCAGUCACUGCACAGCCAGACCUAUGAACUAUGGACAGGCACGCUGUGCAGGAAGUGGCAGCGAGAAAAUGGCAGCCACCACUAAAUUAAACUCCACGGAGCCAUUCUGCAGCAUUCUCUGAGAAGGUUACAGCCAUUUCGGGCCUGCCAUCUGGUAGCUGCUGAUGGAAUCAUUACUUUGUGUUGGCGCCAAGAUGAACUUUUAGAUCCAGCGACAGAGGAGAAGAAAAUGCUGUUUGCUUGUGUGUUUUUGUUUUCCUAUUUGGAGUUUAGAUGUCUCCUUGAAUUCAGAAGUUCAUCAAUUGUUCAGACAUUGAAUUUGCCACAUUGCUGAUUUUUUGUUUUGUUUUGUUUUGUUUUUCCAGAGGUUUAGGGGAAAUUACUUUCCAGAUGGAAGCCCUCACUGUCGUUUGUAUUUGUUUAAGGAUGUGAUUAUUAGUCUGAUCUUUUGAAACGGAAGUUGCCCUUGUCAGUCAAAGAAAAAAAAAUCUUUCUGGUCCUUAGGGUAGGAGCUUUGUGGGGAGGGAGCUAGAAAUUCAAGAUGUAAACGAACAUGCUCAGGUGUGGGUCAUAUAGAAGCUAUGAGAAACUGAAACUGUUUUCAACAUAUGCUUGUAAAUGGGUAUUUUUCCCAAUAUUAUAAGCCCUUAUAACAACAGAAAGAAAAGAUUUUAAUGAAUGAAUGACCCCAAAGUACUGAUUAUUAUAAUGGAAAUAAGAUGUUGGAGAGUGAGGGAUGUCCUACUGAGGCCAUACCUGUGGUUAUUAGAUUUGCAUAGCUUUGAGGGAACCCUAUUGUCAUUUUUUUUUUGCAAAUGGUAGGGAGGUUGAGAAUGUUCAAUCAUGUCUCUGUCCUUCCCCCAACCCCCACCCCGCCUUUGAAACAUAACCUUAGAUAUAACAGAUAAAGAGUUCAGUGCAAUCUAGGUGCCAGCUAACUAGUUUUUAAUUACAGUUUUAAAUUAGAUUAAACAUCACAGGUAAGAUUACAAGUGGAGCCAGUGUAGCAUAGAGAAUAGUCUUUAUGUGUGAAGUCAGAAACUAGCAUUGUAACCUGUCUUCUUUGGUGUUAAUUGUUCUGUCAAAUUUUAUGUUCUGUCAAAUGUUAUAAGAAUGACUUCCUGGAAGAAAUAAAUGCUAACCAUGUUUUCAGGCCUUAGUGAAGGGAUGAGGGAUGUGAAGACAAAUUGGAGGAGAGCAGAGGCAGGCAGACUAUUGGUUUUUGUUUGUUUGUUUGUCUGUUUGUUUUGUAUUGUUUUUACCUCUGAUAAAUCUUCCUAAGGUCCAUGGCCUGUGAUUCUCCAAAUAGGGCACCUGUUUUUUUGGAGAUCUAGAACCAUCUCUGAGAUGUGUUUGAAGAAGCCCUUUGAGAUAUCUGCUUGUCUUAAAAUUUUAAUUAUUAAGCAAACUAAUAGCUUUGUAUAAUACAAAUCUGUAACGAAGAACAGAUUUUAAAAGCAAGUAAAUAAACACAAAACCCCUGGAAAUUUGAAGAAGAUUUCGUUUGGGGCAUUUGGUUUGUGUGUGGCGCUUCCUAGCCUGCAGCAAGUAUGAGGGAAGGUUGAAUGUCAUGGGCAUCCCAAAGAGUGGCCAGUGGAGGUGCUGGAGUAAGUCUCUUCCCAGAAUACAUUGGGUCUCUGGUCUGCUGGUAAGAGAUCUGAGUUCUCUGUCUGGAUACAAUGGAGAAUUACUUAUUGAAGCCAUCUUCAAUCAUGAAAAUUCCCAGAAAUACCAUGUCUUUCACUAUGAGCCUUACUUACCUCCCAGAAACAUACCCCUUGCCUACCAAUAUCUGCUAAAGGACAAUGAGGCAAAUAAACUCAGCCAGACCUUACUAUCA